AAACAGAGAAGCGCCAUGGUGUACCAUGGCUUGAGGAGAUGCAUAUGUCGGAAUUUUUGUGUGUUGCUGGAACAUGGUUUGCAUCACUACAUUCUAAGUGUAUAAUGUGAAGGUGGACAGAUCAGCCUAAUUACUAACGGAAUUUGAUACCUUUCAACGAGACGAUUCAGAAGAUAUAUGGAUGACUAUAUGGGUGUGU
Non-coding RNA from Triticum urartu, 199 nucleotides. The record is from RefSeq and is a predicted model, not a curated record. Lineage: Eukaryota; Viridiplantae; Streptophyta; Magnoliopsida; Poales; Poaceae.